Molecule: ribosomal RNA, 790 nt
Filed under: Clostridioides difficile
Lineage: Bacteria; Bacillati; Bacillota; Clostridia; Peptostreptococcales; Peptostreptococcaceae
Description: bacterial LSU rRNA
Rfam family: Bacterial large subunit ribosomal RNA
Source: RNAcentral
GCAGCCACUCAUUCAAAGAGUGCGUAAUAGCUCACUGGUCGAGUGAUCCUGCGCCGAAGAUUUCCGGGGCUAAAACUUACUACCGAAGCUACGGCAUCAGUAAGGAUGGGUAGGGGGUGUUCCCAGACGGGUUGAAGCAUGACCGUAAGGACAUGUGGACAGUAUGGGAGGGAGAAUGGUGGCAUGAGUAGCGAGAUGUGGGUGAGAAUCCCACAGGCCGUAAACCCAAGGUGUCCAGGGGAAGGUUCGUCCGCCCUGGGUUAGUCGGGACCUAAGCUGAGGCCGAAAGGCAUAGGUGAUGGACAACAGGUUGAUAUUCCUGUACUACCGAUAACCGUUUGAGAGAUGGGAUGACACAGUAGGAUAAGCUAAGCACACUGUUGGUUAUGUGUGCCCAAGCAUUGAGGCAGUCAAAGUAGGUAAAUCCGCUUUGAUAAUGCUGGGAUGUGAUGGGGAGCGAAAUUUAGUAGCGAAGUAGCUGAUUUCACACUGUCAAGAAAAGUCUCUAUCGAGGUUAAAGGUACCCGUACCGCAAACCGACACAGGUGGGUGAGGAGAGUAUCCUAAGGCCAGCGAGAGAACUGUUGUUAAGGAACUCGGCAAAAUGACCCCGUAACUUAGGGAUAAGGGGUGCCACCAUCAGGUGGCCGCAGAGAAUAGGCCCAAGCGACUGUUUACCAAAAACAUAGGUUUCUGCUAAGUCGCAAGACGAUGUAUAGGAGCUGACGCCUGCCCGGUGCUGGAAGGUUAAGGGGAUCUGUUAGAGCAAUCGAAGCAGUGAACUUAAGCC